Molecule: ribosomal RNA, 497 nt
Filed under: uncultured bacterium
Lineage: Bacteria
Description: partial 16S ribosomal RNA
Rfam family: Bacterial small subunit ribosomal RNA
Source: RNAcentral
GAUGAACGCUGGCGGCGUGCCUAAUACAUGCAAGUCGAGCGAACAGACGAGGAGCUUGCUCCUCUGACGUUAGCGGCGGACGGGUGAGUAACACGUGGAUAACCUACCUAUAAGACUGGGAUAACUUCGGGAAACCGGAGCUAAUACCGGAUAAUAUAUUGAACCGCAUUGUUCAAUAGUGAAAUACGGUUUUGCUGUCACUUAUAGAUGGAUCCGCGCCGGAUUAGCUAGUUGGUAAGGUAACGGCUUACCAAGGCAACGAUGCGUAGCCGACCUGAGAGGGUGGUAGGCCACACUGGAACUGGAACACGGUCCAGGAGACUAAGGGAGGGACCAGUAGGCAAUGUUCCGCAAUGGGGGAAAACCUUGCGGAAGAACCGCGAGUGAGUGGUGAAAGUCCUCCGAGCGUAAAAACCUGUUUUUAGGGAAAAACCAAUUUGUAAGGUAACAAGCCCGGCUUGACGGUAACUAAUAAGAAAGCCACGGCUAACUACGUG